UGCUCCCUACUGGAAUCGAACCAGUGAUCUUAUCAUUACUAGUGAUACGCUUUACCACUAAGCCAAGGGAGC
Molecule: transfer RNA, 72 nt
Filed under: Metarhizium brunneum
Lineage: Eukaryota; Fungi; Ascomycota; Sordariomycetes; Hypocreales; Clavicipitaceae
Description: tRNA-Thr
Source: RNAcentral